RNAcentral lists this long non-coding RNA (707 nucleotides) under Phoenix dactylifera (date palm). RNAcentral describes it as "long non-coding RNA (PDAC_LNC018916)". The record is from RNAcentral. Lineage: Eukaryota; Viridiplantae; Streptophyta; Magnoliopsida; Arecales; Arecaceae.
UAUAUAUAUUGGAGUUAAGCAAAACCUCAGCUAGAUUUUGUAGUCUCUUCUUUACCCCUGUCUUGUGCUUAAUUUUUUGGCUUCUAUGAUGUUGGAUCAAAUGCUAAGCCACCAAGUAAAUGGAUCUUAAUAAUUUCUUAAAACUUAAUGUUGCUGCAUGAAAGGUAGAGAAAGAAAUUGUAAGUUAAAUAUACACCAUUAGAUUGAUAGGACACAGCACAAUCACCACAAAUAGGUUUAGUUUCAGAAAACAACCAGAAGUUGGCUCUAUAUUUUGGGUGAUAUGAGGAUGCUACUGGGCUACCAUGAAUUUUUCUACAGCAUAUAGUAUACCCUUAUGUGCCUCUGCCUAAACCUUUUCAACCCAACUUUUUGGUAAUUUGAUAUUUGUUGGGAAGCUCUUUUGAAGUGAUGCCCAUUGGUAUAGGUCCUGGCUUCAAAUUCAGUGUGGAUUUUAUAUGGUGAAUAUUCUUGGUGGGGACACAAACCACCGUUUCCAGCAUGUAUACAGGCGUCGCCGGCGUGCAUAGCACUUUGGCCACCCUAGUUUUAUUUUCGUGCGUAUUUUCAUUUAUUUCUUAUGUAUUUUCGUAUUUUAUUAGUUGCUGGCUUGUUUGAUUGUAUUUAGCUAGUGUAGUGACCCAUGAUGUUGUUGGAUCAUGGGUAGUUACAUGAUCUCAUUUGUGGGGAUCAUGGGUAGUUGUAUU